This 551-nucleotide long non-coding RNA is filed under the name Felis catus (domestic cat). RNAcentral's name for it is "lncRNA (ENSFCAG00000047962.1)". Lineage: Eukaryota; Metazoa; Chordata; Mammalia; Carnivora; Felidae. The record is from RNAcentral.
UUGGUUUAUGAAAUGAACGCAUGUGGUUUCAGGAAUGGUUGGAUCAGAGUGUAAAAACUGAUGUUUUCCGUCUCAUCACUCUGCUUUCAUCUACGCUCCGUAUCAUUCGCAGGCAGGAUCUCCCCACAAGAUGGCAAAGAGGAUCACUGUCCUGCCGGCUGGACCUUCUCGGUGGAAGAAGAAGGUCUACCUCUUUCCUGGUAGUUAUGGCAAAAGUCUUGUGCAGAGGGAUGGCCUCAGUCUGGUGUGGGCCGAUGCACAUCGUUGGCCCGGUAUCUCUACGUACAGGUCUCUCCACACAGGCCCAGCAGACCGCCCCAGCCAGGAGGCUGCACCCCACUCCCCGUGUUGCUUUGAUGGCUCAGUGAGCCCUGGCCUGACCCCGAGGGGCCCAGACAUGUCCGUCAGGAUCCCUUUGUGUACCAGGAGCAGAGGAGCCACGUUCACGUACAGCGCUGACCCUCUGUGCAGUUUUGGAGGACGCAUCUGCAGUGUGGGCUUUUGUGAAGAUGUGGAUUAUUAAGAUGCAAAUUAAUAAUCAUAAUUCCUGG